Molecule: transfer RNA, 72 nt
Filed under: Camelus ferus (Wild Bactrian camel)
Lineage: Eukaryota; Metazoa; Chordata; Mammalia; Artiodactyla; Camelidae
Rfam family: tRNA
About the family: Transfer RNA (tRNA) molecules are approximately 80 nucleotides in length.
Source: Rfam by way of RNAcentral
GGGGCUAUAGCACAGUGGUAGAGCACAUGCUUAGCAUGCAGGAGGGCCCGGGCUCAAUCCCCAGUACUGCCA